AGCGAACGCUGGCGGCAGGCCUAACACAUGCAAGUCGAACGAACCUUUCGGGGUUAGUGGCGGACGGGUGAGUAACACGUGGGAACGUGCCCUUAGGUUCGGAAUAACUCAGGGAAACUUGUGCUAAUACCGAAUGUGCCCUUCUGGGGAAAGAUUUAUCGCCUUUAGAGCGGCCCGCGUCUGAUUAGCUAGUUGGUUGAGGUAAUGGCUCACCAAGGCGACGAUCAGUAGCUGGUCUGAGAGGAUGAUCAGCCACAUUGGGACUGAGACACGGCCCAAACUCCUACGGGAGGCAGCAGUGGGGAAUCUUGCGCAAUGGGCGAAAGCCUGACGCAGCCAUGCCGCGUGAAUGAUGAAGGUCUUAGGAUUGUAAAAUUCUUUCACCGGGGACGAUAAUGACGGUACCCGGAGAAGAAGCCCCGGCUAACUUCGUG
This 434-nucleotide ribosomal RNA is filed under the name uncultured bacterium. RNAcentral describes it as "partial 16S ribosomal RNA". It matches the Rfam family "Bacterial small subunit ribosomal RNA", at positions 29 to 507 of the family's 1533-position model. The record is from RNAcentral.